CAAAGAACAUCAUUAGCUAACCAAGGAAAAGUAUUGGCAAGAGGGGAACAGACUUAGCACUGUUUUUCCAAGACUGGGAGAUUUCUAUUCCCCUCAAGAUUCACUGUCAGGGAUGACCUACAUCUGGGAUUAAAUGACAGAGCACCUGGUGAUGGAUUCAGUGCCAUUCUUCCUGUGUUCUGUAGCGGGAAACUCUUCCUUCCUCCUCUCAAAGGCAAGGAAUUUUCAAACUGAGCAAUAUUUCCGGACUCCUGAUGCAUGGAUGCAGGAAGAGACCCUCUACUCUGUGCAGGAACACUACCUGGAGAAACAAGAGGGCUGAAGUCAAUAUCCAGCAGCAUGUAUGGCUUUAUACAUGGAAAAAUAUCUCCUAUUUAAUUCACUUGAGCCUGAGGUGUCAACCUGGAGUAACAUGGUGAAACAAGCAGAGCUACAGGCAGAGCUGGAAAGGGGAACAAGCAAUUGGGAGUCUCAAGCAAAUUCUAACAAAUUAUUUCAUCUGAUGACUUUGGAGACAAAAAUGGACGUCUGAAAAAUUGCCUUUAAUGCAAACUGAGGCUUUGAAAUCCGCAGCAGUACUUUUGCAGAGCAAAGAUCUUGUUUGGGCAGUAUAUCUUGAAUUUAAGUACUUGCAAUGUAAUGACUCUUGAAGAAGAUACUUGAAAAGAAAUGAAGUAAAAUAAAAAGGAAGACAGUAAACCAUGACUAUAAGUCUGACAUGAAGGACAUGGCAUCAUAAGGUAUGUCAAGAAAUUGAGAAAAUUAUCCGGUUUUUAAAGAUGGUAGUUUAAAAAGACCUUUUGCAGAAUAUUAAAUGACACUGAGACAGGCUCUACCCCGAAACAGACCCUCCUUAGUAUUUUAGGAUGAUGGAAGAAAACAACAGGCAUAUUAAGAAAGGGUUCAGUGAGGGAAAUGCCACUUGCCCUGUAUGUUUCCAAUUGCCCUAUUGCAUCAAUGCUUUUGGAAUAGAACAAAAAUGAUUUCACUAGUAGAAAAGUGCCAGAACAGGGGGAGGCAGCUUCACAGGAAAAAAGAAGUGGUGAAAUACUGUGUUUGGAAGGUGAUGAUAUUUUCAUUCCAGUCUUAUACUGCAAAGAGUGAGAUUCAGCUAAACACUCCGUUCCAUGGAAAAGCUGAGCAAAACCCCUGAUCAUAAGUAAUAGCGUCUUGUUAAAGUGCAAAAAAGGGGUAUACCCUCAUCUGAAAACAGCAUGUUCUUCCUCAUCCAAGUUGUUGCAUAUGUAGAUCUUGCUGAUUUCAGUGACAUUUUAGAAAAUUUUUGGUUUAUUUCUUUUCUUCAGAGUAUACUAGCAGGAUGAACACAGAUUUCUCUCUCCCAACAAGAAUCGGUUGCUGAUGCAGACAGGGACAGGCUCUAUCACAGGGAGUUUUUUCUCUCACUCCUUCUUGCUACACCUGACUGAUCCUGACCACAGGAAUUGUGGUCUCCUCAGACCUGAGUUUCAUGUGUUAACUGCACAAACAAGAACCAGGUCAGUAAUGGUUACUCUGUGAGCUGUUUAAGUGAAUUCGUUUUGAUUGGAGGAAAUAAAGGUGCAGUUUCCACAAGAAGCAGUUCACACAGCAAGAAGAAAACAAGCAAUCCAGCCACUAAGUCUGAUGGACAGUAAUUUCCCAUAAAGGAGCAGAGCUGAGUGAACGAGGGACGGGUGGCCCUUCCACUUUUCCCACCACCACAGCUGGGUUCAGACCAAGGUAGCUACUGGCAAUCAUAUCACCCACUGUCUCUUGCAGAAAGACCUGCACUUUAAAAGCAUGAUUUGGGGGUUUAAAGCUACCCAAUUAGGCAAUUUGGGGGAAUUAUUUUUUUAAUACAAUGAUUAUACCUGAGUCACUGAAUAACAGAAAAUUCAUAUCUUCUAUGUUAUUUCUAUGCCACAAAUCUCUUUUUUGCUACCAUCAGAAAUGUUCAGAGAGCUAAUGUGGUGUGACAACAGUCCAAAUGAAAUUAAACUGCAAACUGUCAUAGUAGCUUGAGGUUGACAAGAAUUUCUUCCCAGCUGGAAACUGCAGAGGGAGAGCUUCUCAGAUCACUGGGUCAGCUCUAUGCCCCAUUAAACAACACUGACUGAUAUCGGUGAAGGUUUAUCAAUCACCAGAGUCCUACAGGCUGUGAAGAGAUUAGGAGUGGUACAGUUCAGUAUGGAAAAUACAAUCCCUGGUGGGUUUUCUGCAUCCCCCAGUCCAUGCUUUGCUUCGUAAUGAAUUUUUAAUAGGAGUUCAAGAAAAAAAGAUGGAGAAGGAAUGAGGGUGCAUUUCUGUCUUUUCUCACUUAAUCCCUUCUCUAAUGCUUUAGGAAAUUACUGGCACAAACAGAUUAUCAGAGUAACUUCUCUGUAAUUGCAACUUGUGUAGUAGUGAAGGCAUUAUACUUUGGUAUGAAACAUAUGCUUUCCUUCUGUUACCACAGCUGUAUGUGGCCAUAACUUUGCCCUGAUUUCACAUGAUGAAGACAGAAAAUUCUGCAGUGUUGUUCUAUUUCACCUGGUCAUAAUGGCUAAAAUGAAUGUAAAUCCUGUUACCUAAUGAUUGAAAACAAAAAUUUUCCUUCUGCUGUUUCCAUAGGUAAUCUGUCAAUGGAUUUGAUUUGGCAUCAGUAAUAAGUUAGGAC
Molecule: long non-coding RNA, 2635 nt
Organism: Hirundo rustica (Barn swallow)
Lineage: Eukaryota; Metazoa; Chordata; Aves; Passeriformes; Hirundinidae
Exons: 3
Source: RefSeq, a predicted model, not a curated record